UACGUAGGGCGCAAGCGUUGUCCGGAAUUAUUGGGCGUAAAGAGCUCGUAGGCGGUCUGUCGCGUCCGUUGUGAAAACUCCGAGGCUCAACCUCGGGCUUGCAGUGGAUACGGGCAGACUAGAGUGCGGUAGGGGAGACUGGAAUUCCUGGUGUAGCGGUGGAAUGCGCAGAUAUCAGGAGGAACACCGAUGGCGAAGGCGGUUCUCUGGGCAUGUCCUGACGCUGAGGAGCGAAAGCCAGGGAGGCAAACGGG
This 254-nucleotide ribosomal RNA is filed under the name uncultured bacterium. Its description in RNAcentral is "partial 16S ribosomal RNA". It matches the Rfam family "Bacterial small subunit ribosomal RNA", at positions 524 to 776 of the family's 1533-position model. The record is from RNAcentral.